Molecule: non-coding RNA, 850 nt
Organism: Arachis ipaensis
Lineage: Eukaryota; Viridiplantae; Streptophyta; Magnoliopsida; Fabales; Fabaceae
Source: RefSeq, a predicted model, not a curated record
UAUACAUUUGGCGUGGUAUGAUGCAGCCACAUAGAAACACUUUUUACAGGGUCUGUCUAUAAUAAGCUCAGGUGUUUUGAGCUUUUUCAAUGUGCACAAAACAUAAUUUAAAAAUAUACCCCAUAUAGAGGUUAAUAAUAAUAAUAAUUUUUUUAUAUUUACCCCAAAUAUUUUUUAAAUUCAUAAAGUGGAACCCUAAUUCCUUUUCCCGUAAAGUGUAAACUCACCGCACCCUCCAAUCCGUUCACAACUAUCACCACCCACUCCAUCCUUCUCUUGUUUUUGCCCUCGCCGUCGCCGUCCAUCGCCGUCCAGCCAGCACUCGCUGCCGGUCUCAUCUCAUCUCCCGGCAUCGUUCCUAGGCUCGCUCUCCCCGUCUCCUCUUCUCUCUUCGAAUCGUCGUCAGCACCGUGGUGCUCCGUCUUCCCCUUUAUCCUCCACUUCCAGAGUUACAAUGGAACCUCAGUCUCAGGCAGCAAACUCAUGGGAAAUCAACUCCAAAUUGGAAGGCUUUUGGAGUUCCUAUCUUUGCAGGGGGGAAGAAAAUCAAAGCAAUUACUAGCAACCAUAGUUUCUUUUUCUUUUCUAUUUUUAAUGUGUAUUUUGCUGAAGAAUUAGGUAGAAUGAAGUGGAAAAAAACAAAUAUUGCAUAGUUUGCCAUUCUUAAAGAAGAAGUGGAUCUGAGUAGUACUGUAAUGUAUGGCAUUUGUCAGUUUUCAGAAGUAUGGACCAUGUUUCCAAUUUGGGGUUAAGGUGUGCCAGAACUCCUCUUUGAUUGUUGUACUAAUAGUAGUUAAUGCAGCCUUAAUCUAACACAGGACCACUUUUCAAAUUCUGCUCAACACUGGUU